Nomascus leucogenys (northern white-cheeked gibbon) is the source of this 383-nucleotide long non-coding RNA. RefSeq lists it as uncharacterized. Lineage: Eukaryota; Metazoa; Chordata; Mammalia; Primates; Hylobatidae. The record is from RefSeq and is a predicted model, not a curated record. The transcript is spliced from 3 exons.
CGCAGAAACCCUCCCACCUUCCAGCUUCGCCAUGCUCUGUAAUUCCUUCUCUCAGGGUAACAUUCUUGUUAUGUAGAACACACAGGACAUCCUAUUAUGAUGAAUGACAACUUCCAUCGAUUGAGCAGCUCCCAUGCACCAAACACAGUGCUAGGCCUUUAGAAGCAUGGUCACAUUUCAUCAUUAUCAUCAUCCUUAGGGUGAAUUUGGACACAGAUAUGCACCUGGGGAUAAUGUCACGUGAAGAGAAAGACAGAGAUUGAAGUGAUGCAGCCGAGGAAUGUCAAAGAUUGCCAGCAAACCACCACAAACUAGAAGAGAAACAUGGAACAGAUUCUUGCAGCCCUCAGAAAGAACCAACCCUGCCAAUACCUUGAUCUCAG